Molecule: transfer RNA, 72 nt
Filed under: Cricetulus griseus (Chinese hamster)
Lineage: Eukaryota; Metazoa; Chordata; Mammalia; Rodentia; Cricetidae
Rfam family: tRNA
About the family: Transfer RNA (tRNA) molecules are approximately 80 nucleotides in length. Their secondary structure includes four short double-helical elements and three loops (D, anti-codon, and T loops). Further hydrogen bonds mediate the characteristic L-shaped molecular structure. tRNAs have two regions of fundamental functional importance: the anti-codon, which is responsible for specific mRNA codon recognition, and the 3' end, to which the tRNAs corresponding amino acid is attached (by aminoacyl-tRNA synthetases). tRNAs cope with the degeneracy of the genetic code in two manners: having more than one tRNA (with a specific anti-codon) for a particular amino acid; and 'wobble' base-pairing, i.e. permitting non-standard base-pairing at the 3rd anti-codon position.
Source: Rfam by way of RNAcentral
UCCCUGGUGGUCUAGUGGUUAGGAUUUGGCCCUCUCACUGCCGCGCCCCAAGUCCGAUUCCUGGUCAGGGAA